CUUCUGAAGUGAUCGCCCCCGUAUAGGGUUCGAUCUCUGUGCUUGUAGUGCUAGUCCCUGGAUCGACUCACUAGCACACACAGUUUCAAGAUGAAAUAUCGAGAUACAAAGGUCAAAGUAUUUUAUUCCUUCAGGGAAGACGGCCCUGACAGGUGGGGUCCACCUGUUAGUGGCUGCGGUUAGGCGCGCGGGCUAGCUGGGCGGGCUCGCUGGCUAGGCCAAUCUGUCGGUCGCGCGGGGAACUAGGUCGGUUCGGCCCAAAUGGCCGGGCCGACCGCUUUCUCAUUUUUUUUUCUUUUAUCCUUUCCUUUCCUGUUUUCUUCUAGCUUUUGAAUUUGAACUCCAAAUCAACUCAAAUCAACUCCAGAAAACUUGUAAAAUCAUAUUGUAAUAUGAUUCAACUUUUGGGACUAAUUUCCCCUCAAAAUAAAAUAGUUAAAAAUAGUUUUGCUUAUAAAUUGCCUUUAGGGCUUUAUAACUAAUUAAAUAAAAUAGUUUUUCAACUCCAAAUUAAAUAAGAAAAAUAUGGGGUAGCAUUUAUGCAAUAAACCCCCUUUUUUUAAUAACCCCCUAUUGGUUUAAAAUUCAAAACUCAAUUG
Molecule: long non-coding RNA, 599 nt
Filed under: Brachypodium distachyon (stiff brome)
Lineage: Eukaryota; Viridiplantae; Streptophyta; Magnoliopsida; Poales; Poaceae
Description: long non-coding RNA (BDIS_LNC005543)
Source: RNAcentral